UGCCUAACACAUGCAAGUCGUACGAGAGUUUUUAACUCAAGUGGCGGACGGGUGAGUAACACGUGAGAAUUUGCCUUUAGGAGGGGGAUAACAGAGUGAAAACGCUGCUAAUACCCCAUAUGCUUUCGAGUGAAAUGGAUUUAUUCGCCUAAAGAGAAGCUCGCGGCUGAUUAGCUUGUUGGUAAGGUAAUGGCUUACCAAGGCGACGAUCAGUAUCUGGUUUGAGAGGACGAUCAGACACACUGGAACUGAGACACGGUCCAGACUCCUACGGGAGGCAGCAGUGGGGAAUUUUCCGCAAUGGGCGAAAGCCUGACGGAGCAAUACCGCGUGAGGGAAGACGGCCUAUGGGUUGUAAACCUCUUUUCUCAGGGAGGAAAUCAAUGACGUUACCUGAGGAAUAAGCAUCGGCUAACUCCGUGCCAGCAGCCGCGGUAAGACGGAGGAUGCAAGUGUUAUCCGGAAUCACUGGGCGUAAAGCGUCUGUAGGUGGCUUAACAAGUCAACUGUUAAAUCUUGAAGCUCAACUUCGAAAUCGCAGUCGAAACUGUUAGGCUAGAGUAUAGUAGGGGUAAAGGGAAUUUCCAGUGGAGCGGUGAAAUGCGUAGAGAUUGGAAAGAACACCGAUGGCGAAGGCACUUUACUGGGCUAUUACUGACACUCAGAGACGAAAGCUAGGGUAGCAAAUGGGAUUAGAUACCC
This 702-nucleotide ribosomal RNA is filed under the name uncultured cyanobacterium. RNAcentral's name for it is "bacterial SSU rRNA". It matches the Rfam family "Bacterial small subunit ribosomal RNA", at positions 45 to 787 of the family's 1533-position model. Lineage: Bacteria; Bacillati; Cyanobacteriota. The record is from RNAcentral.